GAUGAAAACGCAGCGAAAUGCGAUAAGUAAUGCGAAUUGCAGAAUUCAGUGAAUCAUCGAAUCUUUGAACGCACAUUGCGCCCGCUAGUAUUCUGGCGGGCAUGCCUGUCUGAGCGUCAUUUCAACCCUCGCCCCCGGCUUUUGCUGGGAGCGGUGUUGGGGAUCGGCCGCCCGUCACUGGGAGGCCGGCCCCGAAAUAGAGUGGCGACCACGCCGUGUGCUCCUCUGCGUAGUAGUAAAUCACCUCGCAGGCGGACAGCGGUGCGGCCUGCCGUAAAACCCCCAACUCUUUCUGGUUGACCUCAGAUCAGGUAGGAAUACCCGCUGAACUUAAGCAUAUCAAUAAGCGGAGGA
RNAcentral lists this unclassified non-coding RNA (354 nucleotides) under soil metagenome. RNAcentral's name for it is "partial contains 5.8S ribosomal RNA, internal transcribed spacer 2, and large subunit ribosomal RNA". The stretch from base 1 to 119 matches the Rfam family "5.8S ribosomal RNA", at positions 35 to 154 of the family's 154-position model. The record is from RNAcentral.